RNAcentral lists this ribosomal RNA (292 nucleotides) under uncultured bacterium. RNAcentral describes it as "partial 16S ribosomal RNA". It matches the Rfam family "Bacterial small subunit ribosomal RNA", at positions 505 to 796 of the family's 1533-position model. The record is from RNAcentral.
GUGUCAGCAGCCGCGGUAAUACGGAGGGUGCAAGCGUUGUCCGGAUUUAUUGGGUUUAAAGGGUGCGUAGGCGGCUAUUUAAGUCAGCGGUGAAAGACUCCGGCUCAACCGGAGCAGUGCCAUUGAUACUGGAUAGCUUGAGUGUUGGAGGGGUACAUGGAAUUGAUGGUGUAGCGGUGAAAUGCAUAGAUACCAUCAGGAACACCGAUAGCGAAGGCAUUGUACUGGCCAACAACUGACGCUGAGGCACGAAAGCAUGGGGAGCGAACAGGAUUAGAUACCCUAGUAGUCC